RNAcentral lists this unclassified non-coding RNA (1354 nucleotides) under Hevea brasiliensis (rubber tree). Lineage: Eukaryota; Viridiplantae; Streptophyta; Magnoliopsida; Malpighiales; Euphorbiaceae. The record is from RNAcentral.
GUGACAUUGUAAAACAUUCCCUCCAGAAAAUUCGCUAUUUGUCUUCCUUCCCCACUCGCUCUGCAACUAAUGCUCUGCCUCUUCAAUGGAAGAACACGCUUCAAGUAGUAGUAGUAGUUCUCAACUACAACCUUCAUUAGAUGAUUGUUUGAAGCUAUUCAGAGGAGAAAGGGAUGAACAGAGGUUAGCCGGUCUACUUGUUGUUACCAAAUUUUGCAAUAAAGAUGACCAUACAGCCAUUCGCAAGAUUUACGAUGCCCUAGGACCUCAAUUCCUACACCGACUUCUUCGAACCGGAAUAGGGAAAGGAAGUGAUGUCGGGAGUAGCGAUAAUCGUGAUGCCUACUUGCAAUUGUCGAUCACAGUUCUUGCAGCAUUUUGUAGAGUUCCCCAGAUUGCAGCUUCUGAAGAAAUGAUUAAUAAGAUUCCUCUCAUUCUAGAGGCAAUAUCCAGAGAAGCAGGAUCACCUAUAAUUGAAGACUGCUAUGAGUAUUUGUUUUUGGUCUCAACGGCGAGUGAAGAAGGGGUUCAAACCUUGUACAAAUCUGGUGGCUUGAAUGUGCUAGCUUCACAAAUGAUGAUUCUACCCGAUGGUUCUCAUAUGAUUGAACUUGCUCUGAGACUUGUGCAAAUCAUUGUCAUUAAGCUACCCUCGGAAAAUGUUUAUUCUGAGCAUCCAACUGACCUGUCACUGGUGGUGUGUGCAGUGGCAAAGCAGUUUGCUGUUCUACAGAAUGCACUGAAAUUUGAAGCGCUUCACCUCCUAUCAACUAUCCUGUCCAACAGAUAUUCUGCACCUGUAUAUGAUGCUCUUCGCUUAGUGGAAAAUGAUGUUUGGUCGACAAAUUUGUGGAUUGGUAUUCUGGCGAUCUUGCAAAAUCGAGUUGCACCUUCACAUAAACUUCAUGCUCUUGUUCUGACCGAGUGUGUCAUAUCAAUUGUUGGUGAACGGUGGCUUAAUGGGGAGAUGAACUUAACUGGUUCUCAGGUUUCCCUGCCUGCUGACAGGUGCAUUCUGCUUAUUUUGGAGUCGUCAAGGGUUGAAAUUGCUGUUCUUCUAAAUGAUCUGGCAUACUUAAAAUAUGAAGCCUCCAACGCAUCCUCGAAUAGAGAGAACAUUCUUGUGAAGCAGAGGAAUCUUGGUGUAGCCUUCUCUUUGGUUGAAAAAAUAAUUAAACUUAUUUCUAGUUUUGGUGGAGAAGAGUCAACUGCCAAUGCUAUUAUCAGUGAGAGCACUUUCACAAAAAUCAUUUCUGGGCUCAAUGAGACAAUUGGUGUUGUUUUGGACUAUAUACGAGAUGCUAAGGAGCAUGGACAGAUGAAAGGGGAUGAUCUUCUAGCAGCAGUGCGAGUA